UGGGGAAUAUUGGGCAAUGGGCGCAAGCCUGACCCAGCAACGCCGCGUGAAGGAAGAAGGCUUUCGGGUUGUAAACUUCUUUUGUCAGGGAAGAUGAAGAGACUGUACCUGACGAAUAAGCCACGGCUAACUACGUGCCAGCAGCCGCGGUAAUACGUAGGUGGCAAGCGUUGUCCGGAUUUACUGGGUGUAAAGGGCGUGUAGGCGGGAAGAUAAGUCAGGCGUGAAAACCAGAGGCUCAACCUCUGGCCUGCGUUUGAAACUGUUUUCUUGAGUACUGGAGAGGUUGACGGAAUUCCUAGUGUAGCGGUGAAAUGCGUAGAUAUUAGGAGGAACACCAGUGGCGAAGGCGGUCAACUGGACAGCAACUGACGCUGAGGCGCGAAAGCGUGGGGAGCAAACAGGAUUAGAUA
Molecule: ribosomal RNA, 413 nt
Filed under: uncultured Pseudoflavonifractor sp.
Lineage: Bacteria; Bacillati; Bacillota; Clostridia; Eubacteriales; Oscillospiraceae
Description: bacterial SSU rRNA
Rfam family: Bacterial small subunit ribosomal RNA
Source: RNAcentral